GGGUUGUGAGGUUAAGCGACUAAGCGUACACGGUGGAUGCCCUGGCAGUCAGAGGCGAUGAAGGACGUGCUAAUCUGCGAUAAGCGUCGGUAAGGUGAUAUGAACCGUUAUAACCGGCGAUUUCCGAAUGGGGAAACCCAGUGUGUUUCGACACACUAUCAUUAACUGAAUCCAUAGGUUAAUGAGGCGAACCGGGGGAACUGAAACAUCUAAGUACCCCGAGGAAAAGAAAUCAACCGAGAUUCCCCCAGUAGCGGCGAGCGAACGGGGAGCAGCCCAGAGCCUGAAUCAGUGUGUGUGUUAGUGGAAGCGUCUGGAAAGGCGCGCGAUACAGGGUGACAGCCCCGUACACAAAAAUGCACAUGCUGUGAGCUCGAUGAGUAGGGCGGGACACGUGGUAUCCUGUCUGAAUAUGGGGGGACCAUCCUCCAAGGCUAAAUACUCCUGACUGACCGAUAGUGAACCAGUACCGUGAGGGAAAGGCGAAAAGAACCCCGGCGAGGGGAGUGAAAAAGAACCUGAAACCGUGUACGUACAAGCAGUGGGAGCACGCUUAGGCGUGUGACUGCGUACCUUUUGUAUAAUGGGUCAGCGACUUAUAUUCUGUAGCAAGGUUAACCGAAUAGGGGAGCCGAAGGGAAACCGAGUCUUAACUGGGCGUUAAGUUGCAGGGUAUAGACCCGAAACCCGGUGAUCUAGCCAUGGGCAGGUUGAAGGUUGGGUAACACUAACUGGAGGACCGAACCGACUAAUGUUGAAAAAUUAGCGGAUGACUUGUGGCUGGGGGUGAAAGGCCAAUCAAACCGGGAGAUAGCUGGUUCUCCCCGAAAGCUAUUUAGGUAGCGCCUCGUGAAUUCAUCUCCGGGGGUAGAGCACUGUUUCGGCAAGGGGGUCAUCCCGACUUACCAACCCGAUGCAAACUGCGAAUACCGGAGAAUGUUAUCACGGGAGACACACGGCGGGUGCUAACGUCCGUCGUGAAGAGGGAAACAACCCAGACCGCCAGCUAAGGUCCCAAAGUCAUGGUUAAGUGGGAAACGAUGUGGGAAGGCCCAGACAGCCAGGAUGUUGGCUUAGAAGCAGCCAUCAUUUAAAGAAAGCGUAAUAGCUCACUGGUCGAGUCGGCCUGCGCGGAAGAUGUAACGGGGCUAAACCAUGCACCGAAGCUGCGGCAGCGACGCUUAUGCGUUGUUGGGUAGGGGAGCGUUCUGUAAGCCUGUGAAGGUGUGCUGUGAGGCAUGCUGGAGGUAUCAGAAGUGCGAAUGCUGACAUAAGUAACGAUAAAGCGGGUGAAAAGCCCGCUCGCCGGAAGACCAAGGGUUCCUGUCCAACGUUAAUCGGGGCAGGGUGAGUCGACCCCUAAGGCGAGGCCGAAAGGCGUAGUCGAUGGGAAACAGGUUAAUAUUCCUGUACUUGGUGUUACUGCGAAGGGGGGACGGAGAAGGCUAUGUUGGCCGGGCGACGGUUGUCCCGGUUUAAGCGUGUAGGCUGGUUUUCCAGGCAAAUCCGGAAAAUCAAGGCUGAGGCGUGAUGACGAGGCACUACGGUGCUGAAGCAACAAAUGCCCUGCUUCCAGGAAAAGCCUCUAAGCAUCAGGUAACAUCAAAUCGUACCCCAAACCGACACAGGUGGUCAGGUAGAGAAUACCAAGGCGCUUGAGAGAACUCGGGUGAAGGAACUAGGCAAAAUGGUGCCGUAACUUCGGGAGAAGGCACGCUGAUAUGUAGGUGAAGUCCCUCGCGGAUGGAGCUGAAAUCAGUCGAAGAUACCAGCUGGCUGCAACUGUUUAUUAAAAACACAGCACUGUGCAAACACGAAAGUGGACGUAUACGGUGUGACGCCUGCCCGGUGCCGGAAGGUUAAUUGAUGGGGUUAGCGCAAGCGAAGCUCUUGAUCGAAGCCCCGGUAAACGGCGGCCGUAACUAUAACGGUCCUAAGGUAGCGAAAUUCCUUGUCGGGUAAGUUCCGACCUGCACGAAUGGCGUAAUGAUGGCCAGGCUGUCUCCACCCGAGACUCAGUGAAAUUGAACUCGCUGUGAAGAUGCAGUGUACCCGCGGCAAGACGGAAAGACCCCGUGAACCUUUACUAUAGCUUGACACUGAACAUUGAGCCUUGAUGUGUAGGAUAGGUGGGAGGCUUUGAAGUGUGGACGCCAGUCUGCAUGGAGCCGACCUUGAAAUACCACCCUUUAAUGUUUGAUGUUCUAACGUUGACCCGUAAUCCGGGUUGCGGACAGUGUCUGGUGGGUAGUUUGACUGGGGCGGUCUCCUCCUAAAGAGUAACGGAGGAGCACGAAGGUUGGCUAAUCCUGGUCGGACAUCAGGAGGUUAGUGCAAUGGCAUAAGCCAGCUUGACUGCGAGCGUGACGGCGCGAGCAGGUGCGAAAGCAGGUCAUAGUGAUCCGGUGGUUCUGAAUGGAAGGGCCAUCGCUCAACGGAUAAAAGGUACUCCGGGGAUAACAGGCUGAUACCGCCCAAGAGUUCAUAUCGACGGCGGUGUUUGGCACCUCGAUGUCGGCUCAUCACAUCCUGGGGCUGAAGUAGGUCCCAAGGGUAUGGCUGUUCGCCAUUUAAAGUGGUACGCGAGCUGGGUUUAGAACGUCGUGAGACAGUUCGGUCCCUAUCUGCCGUGGGCGCUGGAGAACUGAGGGGGGCUGCUCCUAGUACGAGAGGACCGGAGUGGACGCAUCACUGGUGUUCGGGUUGUCAUGCCAAUGGCACUGCCCGGUAGCUAAAUGCGGAAGAGAUAAGUGCUGAAAGCAUCUAAGCACGAAACUUGCCCCGAGAUGAGUUCUCCCUGACUCCUUGAGAGUCCUGAAGGAACGUUGAAGACGACGACGUUGAUAGGCCGGGUGUGUAAGCGCAGCGAUGCGUUGAGCUAACCGGUACUAAUGAACCGUGAGGCUUAACCUUACAACGCCGAAG
This 2925-nucleotide ribosomal RNA is filed under the name Escherichia coli. RNAcentral describes it as "bacterial LSU rRNA". It matches the Rfam family "Bacterial large subunit ribosomal RNA". The record is from RNAcentral. Lineage: Bacteria; Pseudomonadati; Pseudomonadota; Gammaproteobacteria; Enterobacterales; Enterobacteriaceae.